Molecule: long non-coding RNA, 428 nt
Organism: Malurus melanocephalus (red-backed fairy wren)
Lineage: Eukaryota; Metazoa; Chordata; Aves; Passeriformes; Maluridae
Exons: 5
Source: RefSeq, a predicted model, not a curated record
GACAACGCAGCCGAGGGCCACCACAGCGGGGACAGGAGAUCCCGGGGAUGGGGACACGGUGACAACGCGGCCCAGGGCCACCACGGCCCCUCCGGAGAGCGGGGACAGCGCGGGGACAGCGGCGGGGAACGGGACACGGAUUUCCGGGGGUGUCCCCGCCCGUUUUUGGUCUCCCGCCAUCUUUGUGGCGCUGGCCCUGCUCGUGCUCUUCGUCGCCUACCGGAGGAACAAGGGCAAAGGGAGUCGGGAUUGGGCCACGAGCGGCAGCGACUCCUCAGAUUUGGGGGCGCUGGUCCAGCCCCAAAUCCAGGGGGGCACCGACCCCAAAACCCCGACCCUACAGAGGGUUCGGAAGGACCCCGAGACCGACAGGGAUCCGGAACAUUCCGAGACCGCCUUCGGCCAGCCAGAGCCAACCCCGACCCCAA